CACGAACACCAUUUCAGCUGUGAGAGUGACGCUCCCGAGUGGAGAGAGGGAACGAAACCAUUUAGGACCCGUCUGCAUCCCUGAGUCUGCCCACACUGCACAGGUCUCCACCACCCUUACCAUGUGCUGGCUCAAAUCCAGAACUCCGUCAGGAAGAGCAGAAAGCCAGACUGAUUGGCUGGGGAGGGAGGACCUGGGGUCUCCUGCAGUUUCCCGUGUCUUCUUCACUUGCCCUUCACUGCAACGGCCACAGCCCCACGGCAGCAACCUCACGCUUCCUCCCUACAUUGAUAGUGGUAUUGAGCUCUGUCGCUGCAUCCCAAGGUCUGCAGGUAGCUCAGGACAGUGCAGUUCCAACAGGGAGGCAUCUGCAUGGGAGCUCAUGUGAUCUCAUUGGAGAAAAGUGGACAGAGUCAAUGCCCAUCCCCCCCCCCAGAGUGUUCGGGGUCUGAGAAUGACAGGAGGAAACAUAGGAGUGAAGUGAACUAGUUAGUGCUACCCUGGUUAGGUUUAAAGUUGCAAACAGUGGGAGUGGGGGUAGUGUGUUCAAGGUUCUGUGACCAUACUGCAUUGACUAUAAAUGGUAAAUGGUGAGAGAAAGACUUCUUCCCACUCCUUACCUCUGCUUCUGUGGG
This 635-nucleotide long non-coding RNA is filed under the name Rattus norvegicus (Norway rat). Its description in RNAcentral is "long non-coding RNA NONRATT008913". The record is from RNAcentral. Lineage: Eukaryota; Metazoa; Chordata; Mammalia; Rodentia; Muridae.